Long non-coding RNA from Pezoporus occidentalis (night parrot), 1317 nucleotides. RefSeq lists it as uncharacterized. The record is from RefSeq and is a predicted model, not a curated record. The transcript is spliced from 2 exons. Lineage: Eukaryota; Metazoa; Chordata; Aves; Psittaciformes; Psittacidae.
UCUCUAUGAAUUUUGCAAGAAUCUGGAACCAUCCAUGGAUCCAAGUGGAUCUCUGUGGGAUUAGCUGCCUUGUGCUGCAACCCAUCCGCAGGUCAAAAUCAUACUCUGUCUUCUGCAGAGGUUUACCAACUCCUAGAAUGAUUUUCUGCCACUUUGCCAGGCUGGGUGACACUGCAGAAUCUCAUUGCCCUGAAAGAUGUGUUUAUAUCCAGUGACUGCAGCAUUGUCUGGUGACAUCAGUCUGUGGGGUGACUGUUCUACUGCUACGUUUUUCAGCCUUGCUGGUGAAGGAGGAGUCCGAGGCUGUUACUCAAACUAAAGCAGAAAGUCCUUGCUGUGUUCUGAAAAUGGGCUUAUAGGUCAUUAAAAAUACACGCUAUUUUGAAAUGGAUCAAACUUUGUCCUAGUUACUCUCUGGUUAGUCAGGCCUGAAAAUGAGCAGCUGCUUAGUGCAACCCUCCUCCUUUGUUUCAUAAAUAUAAUUUGCCUUUUCAAAGAUCACAGAGCAAAUUAGGGUGACUGUAUGGCACCCAGAAGAAAUUGCCCCCGGUCAGCUCUCAAAGCUGGGUUAUUGUCACAUAUGUACAUCCCCGGGAGCUUGUGUAGGGGUGCGUAAUGCAUCAAGCAUAGGGUUUAGCCUUGGGCAGAAAGUCAGCAGAAGGCUGUGCAUCAUUUAAGGCUCUCUCACUGAGUGUGCUAAGUGGUGCAUAAACCUCACAAAUGCUGCUAGUUGCUGGAUGAAUGGCUGAGGGAGCUGCAGGUGAAAAAAAAUCACAUAUAGUUUCUCACCAAGAGUAGGGGUCCCUGCUUUUCCUAAAAUAAGGAUUGUUGGUCUCAAUCCUGAUCAGCACAGUGAAGUCCAGCCAGCUCAAUGCAGGCUUGGAGUACACUGAUUGUUUUUCUGAAAUUCCUUGUGCUUGACAGUUGCAGAUACUCAGCAGCCUGCUCCCUCUGAUCCAGUAAAGCCAUUGGAGAUCUCUGCUCCCAGUCCCUCGUUUCAACAGCAGAGACUGAAACAAACUGUGUGAAAUCCAUCAUGUUUCCCAUCAGGGCCAAUGUUAUAAUCGGAAUGACCCACUCAUCAGGAAUUCAGUUUUAAAACCGGAAAAGGGAUUAGAGAGGUUAUAUAUACUUCUUGGUCAGGAUUUUCAAACUGGACAUGAGAUUCAUGAGAGCUCCAGAAGGGGCCUGAUUGCCAGGAAGGGCUGAGCAACUGUUUAAUGGAGAAAGGACUCCUCUCCAUCACAGGCCAGGCUGAGAUCAUCGCUGCCACACUUUUAGACUACACAGCAGUGGGUUAAACUGGCAAGAAAAGGA